GACAGAGGGUGCAAACGUUGUUCGGAAUUACUGGGCGUAAAGCGCGUGUAGGCGGCUAUGUAAGUCGGGCGUGAAAUCCCACGGCUCAACCGUGGAAGUGCACUCGAAACUGCAUAGCUAGAGUCCUGGAGAGGAAUGUGGAAUGCUUGGUGUAGAGGUGAAAUUCGUAGAUAUCAAGCGGAACACCGGUGGCGAAGGCGGCCUUCUGGACAGUGACUGACGCUGAGACGCGAAAGCGUGGGGAGCAAACAGG
RNAcentral lists this ribosomal RNA (253 nucleotides) under uncultured bacterium. RNAcentral's name for it is "partial 16S ribosomal RNA". It matches the Rfam family "Bacterial small subunit ribosomal RNA", at positions 524 to 776 of the family's 1533-position model. The record is from RNAcentral.